AGUUGAUCUGGCUCAGAACGAACGCUGGCGGCGUGCCUAACACAUGCAAGUCGAGCGUGAAAGUUCCUCGGGAAUGAGUAAAGCGGCAGACGGGUGAGUAAUACAUAGGUAAUCUACCUUGAGCUUGGGAUAACCCCGCGAAAGUGGGGCUAAUACCGGAUAAGACCACGUGGCUUAAGUUACGUGGUAGAAGGUGGCUUGUAUUUAUACUGGCUAUCACUUGAGGAUGAGCCUAUGGCCUAUCAGCUUGUUGGCGGGGUAAGAGCCCACCAAGGCUAUGACGGGUAGUUGGUCUGAGAGGACGACCAACCACACUGGGACUGAGACACGGCCCAGACUCCUACGGGAGGCAGCAGUGGGGAAUAUUGGGCAAUGGGCGAAAGCCUGACCCAGCGACGCCGCGUGGGUGAAUGAAGGCCUUCGGGUUGUAAAGCCCUGUCAUGCGGAAAGAACAGUCUUACGGUUAAUACCCGUAAGAUUUGACGGUACCGCAGGAGGAAGCACCGGCUAACUCCGUGCCAGCAGCAGC
Molecule: ribosomal RNA, 529 nt
Filed under: uncultured bacterium
Lineage: Bacteria
Description: bacterial SSU rRNA
Rfam family: Bacterial small subunit ribosomal RNA
Source: RNAcentral